This 173-nucleotide small RNA is filed under the name Dasypus novemcinctus (nine-banded armadillo). RNAcentral's name for it is "Clostridiales-1 RNA (ENSDNOG00000040037.1)". The record is from RNAcentral. Lineage: Eukaryota; Metazoa; Chordata; Mammalia; Cingulata; Dasypodidae.
GAGCACAUGUGUGCAGGUGUCUACAAGCACAUGUGUGCAUGCACAUGUAGGCAUGCAUGCGUGUGCACGUGUUAGCAUGUGAGCACGUGUUAGCAUGUGUGAGCAUGCACGUGUGAGCACACGUGUGCAGGCAUGUGUGACCACGCAGGUGCAGGCACAUGCCGUGUGUCUUC